AGUGAACGCUGGCGGUAUGCCUAACACAUGCAAGUCGAACGGCAGCACAGUAAGAGCUUGCUCUUACGGGUGGCGAGUGGCGGACGGGUGAGGAAUACAUCGGAAUCUACUUUUUCGUGGGGGAUAACGUAGGGAAACUUACGCUAAUACCUCAUACGACCUACGGGUGAAAGCAGGGGAUCUUCGGACCUUGCCCGAUUGAAUGAGCCGAUGUCGGAUUAGCUAGUUGGCUGGGUAAAGGCCCACCAAGGCAACGAUCCGUAGCUGGUCUGAGAGGAUGAUCAGCCACGCUGGAACUGAGACACGGUCCAGACUCCUACGGGAGGCAGCAGUGGGGAAUAUUAGACAAUGGGCGAAAGCCUGACCCAGCCAUACCGCGUGGGUGAAGAAGGCCUUCGGGUUGUAAAGCCCUUUUGUUGGGAAAGAAAAGCAGCAGGUUAAUACCCCGCUGUUCUGACGGUACCCAAAGAAUAAGCAACGGCUAACUUCGUG
This 492-nucleotide ribosomal RNA is filed under the name uncultured bacterium. RNAcentral's name for it is "partial 16S ribosomal RNA". It matches the Rfam family "Bacterial small subunit ribosomal RNA", at positions 29 to 507 of the family's 1533-position model. The record is from RNAcentral.